This 1457-nucleotide ribosomal RNA is filed under the name uncultured Bordetella sp. RNAcentral describes it as "partial 16S-23S ribosomal RNA intergenic spacer". It matches the Rfam family "Bacterial small subunit ribosomal RNA". The record is from RNAcentral. Lineage: Bacteria; Pseudomonadati; Pseudomonadota; Betaproteobacteria; Burkholderiales; Alcaligenaceae.
CCAGCACUGUAGUAACAGUGGUUCGAUCAUGGCUCAGAUUUCGAACGCUGGCGGGAUGCUUUACACAUGCAAGUCGAACGGCAGCACGGACUUCGGUCUGGUGGCGAGUGGCGAACGGGUGAGUAAUGUAUCGGAACGCAGCCUAUAGCGGGGGAUAUUAACUACGCGAAAGGUAGCUAAUACCGCAUACGACUCCCCGGGAAAGCAGACCCCGGGCCUGCAACAUUAGAGCGGCCGAUAUCGGAUUAGCUAGGUUGUGGUGUUGCUCACCAAGGCGACGAUCCGUAGCUGGUUUGAGAGGACGACCAGCCACACUGGGACUGGAGACACGGCCCAGACUCCUACGGAGGCAGCAGUGGGGAAUUUCGACAAUGGUGGGAACCUUGAUCCAGCCAUCCUGCGUGCGAUGAAGGCCUUCGGGUUGUAAAGCACUUUUGGCGGUGAAAGAAACGGCACGGGAUAAUACCCCGUGCAACUGACGGCACUUCCAGAAUAAGCACCGGCUAACUACGCGCCAGCAGCCGUAAUAAUGUAGUGUUAAUCGGAAUUACUGGGCGUAAAGCGUGCGCAGGCGGUUCGGAAAGAAAGAUGUGAAUCCAGAGCUGAAUUUUCACGGGAACCGCAUUUUUAACUACUGAGCUAGAGCGUAAACAGAGGUGGAAUUCCGCGUGGCAGCAGCGGAUAUGCGGAGGAACACCACGGCGAAGGCAGCCUCCUGGGAUAACACUGACGCUCAUGCAUCGAAAGCGUGGGGAGCAAACAGGAUUAGAUACCCUGGUAGUCCACGCCCUAAACGAUGUCAACUAGCUGUUGUUCUGGGCCUGGUAGCGCAGCUAACGUGAAGUUGACCCGCCUGGGGAGUACGGUCGCAAGAUUAAAACUCAAAGGAAUUACGGACCCGCAGCAAGGCGGUGGAUGAUGGUGAUUAACGGAUGCAACGUGGAACCUUACCCAUCUUUGAUAACUGAAUCCUGAAGAGAUUUGGGGAGGCGUUUGCAAGAGAACCGGAACACAGGUGCUGCAUGGCUGCCGUCAGUCGUGUCGUGAGAUGUUGGGUUAAGUCCCGCAACGAAAGGCAACCCUUGUCAUUAGUUGCUGAAAGUGCACUCCACGAGACUGCCGGUGACAAACUGGAGGAAGGUGGGGAUGACGUCAAGUCCUCAUGGCCCUUGCGGUGCAGGGCUUCACACGUCAUACAAUGGUCGGGACAGAGGGCCUUCAACCCGCGAGGGGGAGCCAAUCCUGAACUGAUCGUAGUCCGGACGUCUGCAACCGAGACUGCGUAAGUCGUGGAAUCGCUAGCAAUCGCGGAUCAGCAUGUCGCGGUGCGAACACACCGGUCUUGUACACACCGCCCGUCACACCAGGCGGCGGGUUUUACCAGAAGUAAAGGCUCAACCGCAAGGAGGGCGACGACACGGUAGAUUAUGAUCGGGGGUGAAGUCGUAACAAGGUAA